ACGGGGGGUGCAAGCGUUGUUCGGAAUCAUUGGGCGUAAAGCGCGCGCAGGCGGCUUGGUAAGUCAGAUGUGAAAUCCCUGGGCUUAACCCAGGAAGUGCAUUUGAUACUGCCGAGCUUGAGUACGGGAGAGGUAAGUGGAAUUCCUGGUGUAGAGGUGAAAUGCUUAGAUAUCAGGCGGAACACCGGUGGCGAAGGCGGCUUUCUGGGCCGAUACUGACGCUGAGGCGCGAAAGCGUGGGGAUCAAACAG
Molecule: ribosomal RNA, 251 nt
Filed under: uncultured prokaryote
Description: partial 16S rRNA
Rfam family: Bacterial small subunit ribosomal RNA
Source: RNAcentral